AUUGAACGCUGGCGGCAGGCCUAACACAUGCAAGUCGAGCGGCAGCACGGGAAGCUUGCUUCCUGGUGGCGAGCGGCGGACGGGUGAGUAAUGCAUAGGAAUCUGCCCGAUAGUGGGGGAUAACCUGGGGAAACCCAGGCUAAUACCGCAUACGUCCUACGGGAGAAAGCAGGGGCUCUUCGGACCUUGCGCUAUCGGAUGAGCCUAUGUCGGAUUAGCUGGUUGGUGAGGUAAUGGCUCACCAAGGCGACGAUCCGUAGCUGGUCUGAGAGGAUGAUCAGCCACAUCGGGACUGAGACACGGCCCGAACUCCUACGGGAGGCAGCAGUGGGGAAUAUUGGACAAUGGGCGCAAGCCUGAUCCAGCCAUGCCGCGUGUGUGAAGAAGGCCCUCGGGUUGUAAAGCACUUUCAGUGGGGAAGAAAGCCUUGGGGCUAAUACCCUCGAGGAAGGACAUCACCCACAGAAGAAGCACCGGCUAACUCCGUGCCAGCAGCCGCGGUAAUACGGAGGGUGCGAGCGUUAAUCGGAAUUACUGGGCGUAAAGCGCGCGUAGGUGGCUUGAUAAGCCGGUUGUGAAAGCCCCGGGCUCAACCUGGGAACGGCAUCCGGAACUGUCAGGCUAGAGUGCAGGAGAGGAAGGUAGAAUUCCCGGUGUAGCGGUGAAAUGCGUAGAGAUCGGGAGGAAUACCAGUGGCGAAGGCGGCUUUCUGGACUGACACUGACACUGAGGUGCGAAAGCGUGGGUAGCAAACAGGAUUAGAUACCCUGGUAGUCCACGCCGUAAACGAUGUCGACUAGCCGUUGGGAGCCUCGAGUUCUUAGUGGCGCAGUUAACGCGAUAAGUCGACCGCCUGGGGAGUACGGCCGCAAGGUUAAAACUCAAAUGAAUUGACGGGGGCCCGCACAAGCGGUGGAGCAUGUGGUUUAAUUCGAUGCAACGCGAAGAACCUUACCUACCCUUGACAUCGUGCGAACUUGGUAGAGAUACCUUGGUGCCUUCGGGAACGCACAGACAGGUGCUGCAUGGCUGUCGUCAGCUCGUGUUGUGAAAUGUUGGGUUAAGUCCCGUAACGAGCGCAACCCUUGUCCCUAUUUGCCAGCGAUUCGGUCGGGAACUCUAGGGAGACUGCCGGUGACAAACCGGAGGAAGGUGGGGACGACGUCAAGUCAUCAUGGCCCUUACGGGUAGGGCUACACACGUGCUACAAUGGUCGGUACAAAGGGUUGCAAAGCGGCGACGUGGAGCUAAUCCCAUAAAGCUGAUCUCAGUCCGGAUCGGAGUCUGCAACUCGACUCCGUGAAGUCGGAAUCGCUAGUAAUCGUGAAUCAGAGUGUCACGGUGAAUACGUUCCCGGGCCUUGUACACACCGCCCGUCACACCAUGGGAGUGGACUGCACCAGAAGUGGUUAGCCUAACUUCGGAGGGCGAUCACCACGGUGUGGUUCAUGACUGGGGUGAAGUCGUAACAAGGUAGCCGUAGGGGAACC
RNAcentral lists this ribosomal RNA (1490 nucleotides) under Halomonas campaniensis. RNAcentral describes it as "bacterial SSU rRNA". It matches the Rfam family "Bacterial small subunit ribosomal RNA". Lineage: Bacteria; Pseudomonadati; Pseudomonadota; Gammaproteobacteria; Oceanospirillales; Halomonadaceae. The record is from RNAcentral.